Non-coding RNA from Drosophila virilis, 1864 nucleotides. Lineage: Eukaryota; Metazoa; Arthropoda; Insecta; Diptera; Drosophilidae. The record is from RefSeq and is a predicted model, not a curated record.
AAGAUAUAUAUAUUCUUGACCAAGGCGACGAGCGGAUUCGAUGUCCGUGACACUUCCCACUAGAGGGCCCUAAUUUGUUUAUUUUGUACAUACGAAUUUUUAAAAUUAAUAAUAAUGUUCCGUUUUGGAAUUUCGACUCGGUUAGCAACUAUUUUUUAGUCUCAUAAAAAUAGCUGAUAACGAGAAGCAGCCAAAGCAAAUGAACUUUCCUAUUUGCAAUCUAUCAACAGUUCAGUGAAGGUCCCUUAAGGCCUGAUCCAUGCCUUCUGUUUAUUUAUAUUGACUUCCUGACCUACUGAUAAUCGCCUAAAUUGCUCAAAUAUUGGGCACAUGAGCUUCCGAAUAAUUGCCGUAGUUCACUCUAUUUACGUUCGUUCUGGUGUUGAGUGCGGUUGAGAUUUGCAUUUCAGUUCCAAAAUCAAAGUGCUAUCAAAACGAAAUGUCUUAUGUUUAUACAUAUUAUAUUUAUAAGCCUAAUACUGAUCAUAGCUGAAGCAGUGUUUAACGAAAAUUAGACUCCUUUUUAUCAGUCUUGUGUGGCAACCAGAAUAGCAGAGAAGGAAUGUGGAGAGCAUACCUAUAAGGCUGUGAGACCUUUGUUAAAGUAUAUUCAUCAGAUGAAGGCAAAGACAGAGAAAUCAAGCAACUGCAGAAGCAACUUAACCAAAAUAAUAAACAGGUCAUUGAGGAGCUUAGAGCUCAGAAUCAAUUCUACAAGCAGAGUAUCAAAGAGCUAACUAACGAAGUUUUGUCAAUAAAAGAGGAAAUUGGUAAACUUAUUUCCAAUCCCUUAAGAAUCCCGGACUAUGAAGUGCAACUGGAGAAUCAAAAGAAGUCAAUUGAUCAACAGGCCCAACAAAUAUCAGAACUCAAAGACAAAAUCAACAUUUGUGAAAAGAAACUUAAAAGCUGUGAAGAGAAGCCCGUUCACAGUGACUGCAACGACUUUGCUGAUGCUCCGGGUAUUCAUACGAUUACUCCAGAUCAAGAAGGUCCUUUCGAUGUUCUCUGUGAUAGUGCGACAGCAAGUCCUGGCUGGACAGCAAGGAGGAUUUUUAUAGGAAUUGGAGCACAUAUCGUGAAGGCUUUGGUUCCCUUCAUGGUGAUUUUUUCUUAGGUCUUGAAAAGAUUCAUCGAUUGACGCGCGCCCAGCCUCAUGAGCUCUACGUGCAUAUGGAAGGAUUUGAUUUAGACUUGAUCAGCUUGGGUAAAUCUGAGGGCAGUGCAACAGCUGAUCGCUUGCAAUACCACAAACAUCAGAAAUUCACCACAUUCGAUCGUGACAAUGACAAUUAUACUUAUCUCUGGCAACUGCGCAAGCGAAAACAAAUUUUGUGGUGGCUGGUGGUUCCGUUCACAGCUAUUGAUCGGCACAGCUUUGUCAAAACAAUUUAAAUGCAAUUAAUUUUGAUAGUGUUUUCUUUCUUUUUUUUUAGUAAUUUAAAUGGCAAAUACUAUGAUCAUAAGGUGGAUAAAGCUGAUGCCAUAUUUUGGGAAUAUUUCUUCACCUUGAAGACAGUCAAAAUGCUUAUACGCCCCAAAAUCAAUGGAAAAUAAUAUAUAAAAACAAAAAUGUAAAGCAAUUUAUUGCAAAAAAGCUAAAAUUGUUUUACAAUUUAUAUAUAAACAGAUUCAUAUGCUGUUAUCCCAACAAAAAUUCACAAUUGACCGGUAUAAAAAACAAACAAAUUCAAAUUUAUUUUUUAUUUAUUAUUAAUGGUCGACAAAGCGAGUAUCUUCUUCAUUAUUCAAUGGAUUAUAUAAUAGAUAAUAGAAUUAUAUGCUAAAAAAAAUAUAAUUUUCUAAAUAGCAUCACCGACCGAUGGAGGUGCUUUAUUUGCCAUUCCGACCAGCUGUGCGCCUU